This 253-nucleotide ribosomal RNA is filed under the name uncultured bacterium. RNAcentral describes it as "partial 16S ribosomal RNA". It matches the Rfam family "Bacterial small subunit ribosomal RNA", at positions 524 to 776 of the family's 1533-position model. The record is from RNAcentral.
UACGUAGGGGUGCGAGCGUUGUCCGGAAUUAUUGGGCGUAAAGAGCUCGUAGGCGGCUUGUCGCGUCGGAUGUGAAAGCCCGGGCUUAACUCCGGGUCUGCAUUCGAUACGGGCAGGCUAGAGUUCGGUAGGGGAGAUCGGAAUUCCUGGUGUAGCGGUGAAAUGCGCAGAUAGUCAGGAGGAACACCGGUGGCGAAGGCGGAUCUCUGGGCCGAUACUGACGUGAGGAGCGAAAGCGUGGGGAGCGAACAGG